This 12514-nucleotide long non-coding RNA is filed under the name Lynx pardinus (Iberian lynx). Lineage: Eukaryota; Metazoa; Chordata; Mammalia; Carnivora; Felidae. The record is from RNAcentral.
UGAAGCCAGUCAUUUAUCUUAGGUCUUUGCUGUAUUCAAUUCCACAGUUAUUCAUGAGUUCCAUGCUGGACUGUCUGGUUGGCCAAUGAUACUCCAAAAAUUUCUGUAAUUUCAAAAAUGUAAGUUACAGUGACUAGUGUGAUACACCUAGGGUCAGUGAAUACAGUUGAUACUAUUCUAUCCAAAAGAAAAGAAACUUGACAUUUAGUUAACCUAGUCAACCCCAUCAGAGGCAAGGAGUUGGCCCUUCAUACUAUUAAAAAUAAGACAUAAGCCAUUAUUACUGAUUUUAUAAAUACCCCACCAAUCUAAGACCCCAAGGGUGAAAAUCCUUGCAUUUGAGAUUUUUCUGGAAACCUUCCAGCUUUCAAUAUUUGGUGCAUACUUAAGAGUUGACUCAUCUUAGGCGUUUAAACCAGGGGUGGCCAGUGACAGCACAUGUGUUCCUGUUCUCACUUUCUGUGCCUGUCGCAGGCGUCUCUAAUUCAUCUCUACAAACUUUCCCAUUGAAUGACUUUGUUGUUGUUGUUGUUGUUGUUGUUGUUGUUACUUCUUAAUACAGUGUUUCAAGCAACCAGUGAAUCAGAGCUGGUGCUGAAGAUGAAACCAGCUUGUCUUUCCUGCUCUACCCCAUGUCUUAGGUGAUUUGUUCAUAAGGCAAGUGCAGGGGAUACAGGCUCAGAAUUCCUCUGAACAGGGAUACUUGAGAUUCCAUAAUAAGGGUGGAAGAUGUAGAAAUGGGGGGAACUAAGGCAUGCCAAGUCACAGAGAAUAAGAUGACUUUUAUCCCCAUUGGCAGCUGAUUAUAAAUAGCCCUUUAUCAUUCUUUUUGCUUUCUGUACUCCUCUUCCUAACAUAGGUGCAAGGAUUGGAUAAACAGGUAUGGAAAUAAACAGGAAAGGUUAAUUUAAGAAUGGGUUAGUCUAGGCUGGGGAAACUUCCAAAAUGGUCUUGGAAUAAUACUGGUACCACCCUGCAGGGCCAUGGCAAUCAGAGUUUCCUGGUCUCCCAAGUCCUUUCUCUCACAUGAAUUCCUUGGAGCUUGCCAGCCCUGUGAGAAAUGCAGAAAAGAUGUCAUGUUCUCUUUUUAUUCAUGAGGCAAGAGAAGAUUAAAGAAGGUGAGUGGUUUUGCAAAGUCACAUGGUUAGGAAAGGAUGGAAUUGGAAAAAGAACUCAGAUUUGAACAUUUCGAGGUCAACGCUCUUUCUGAUGCAUUUGUGUUACUCACAUUGGGGUAUAAUGGGCCAGGAUAGGCAGGGUAGGGCCAGGCGAUUAUUUCAAAGGUUUGGGAUGAAAUGCCACUUCUCAAGAUUUUCUCACAUCUUGAUAUAAAAAGUGUAAAGGCACAUUAUGAAGUAGAACACAGAAUUUUCAAACUUUUUAUGAUAAAAAUACAAGAUUUUGAAGCUAUUGGCUCUAUGUGGACCCAUUGUGGCCCUUUCCCAGACUUCUGAUGAUGCUUUCACUGUUCCCUUCUGAUGGUAACAAGGGAAAUGGAUUAUCCUUCACCACACUACCUCUCACCUCUUCUUCCCUCCUCCUUCUUGUUCUUCUUUGUCAUUUUUAUUUACGUAAGUGAUGUUGCCAUUCUCAGAGACCCCCAAAGGUAGCUUGCUUGUAAUUCAUCUCAGAGGCCUGGGGCUGCCAUGGUCAGGCUCUGGUGAGGCUCUAUCCCUGGAUUACAGACAGCUGCCUUCCUGCUAUGUCCUUACAGGGCAGAGAGAGAGAGAAAGGCUCUCUGCUGUAUCUUCUUAUAAGCACACUAAUUUCAUCAUGGAGGCUCUGCUCUCAUGGCCUUGUCUGAACCUAAUUUCCUCCCAAAGACCUCAUCUUCAAAUACCAUCACAUUGGGGUUAGGGAUUCAAUAAAUGAAUUUGGAGGGAACACAAUUCAGUCUAUAGUGAUCAGUUAGGAUGAUUUCAAUUGUAAAUAAUAGAAGACCCAACUCAAGAGGCUUAAACAAUAAAAGGCAUUUGUUGGCCCAGAUAACUGGAGGGAAAUUAGGGUGAGCCCCAGGAUUAGGUGAUACAGAUCCAGAAUUAGGUGAACCAUAUCAUCAAGGAUUUUGAUGUCCAUAGCGUUGCCUUCAUACUAACACUGUUUAUUCUCUCAAUGUGGGAUGUCUGAAACUUUGGGCUUCCUGGUUCACCUCUGUGAACAUGUCUCAUUAACCAGAAUUAUGGUAUGGACUGACUCCCAAACCAGUCACUGUGGCCAGUGUGAUGGACUUUACUGAUUCACUUAAACCAAAGUUCACUCCAAGAGCUGAAGGAAGAUUCUGAAUUCCACAGCUGCUUCAAAAUCUAAGAGAGAAAGGAGCCAAUCCGGGAGGUGACUAUGGUGUCCACUACAAGUUCCUCUUAACAACUCUCCACUUAAACUGUUGACUGUAGCUGGUACAUGGCAAGUUCUAAGUAAGUAUGAUCUGUCUAAUUGACUAUCUGCCUGUUUAUUACGAGCUAGAGUGAAGAUCCUGGGAAGGGUAAUAAUGGGAUGGACCCUACAGAAAACAUGAAGGGAAAGGCUAUGAAUAUUAAGGUCAACACCCCUCUGGACUCUUAUCUUGUGGCAACACAAAAGAAUUCAAGAAAGGGAUGGAGAUCUCUGGUCCUGAAGACUGCAUUUGGGGUUUCACUGGGUUCACACUUCAUUUGCAUCCACUCCUUUCUCCAGGUCUGGGAAGAGCCAUAUUUAUAUUUCUUCCACAUAGAAAUUGGCAUCAUAUCAUACUGAAAGGGCGGGCCUACGCCGGCCGACUCCAUCUUGUUCUGUGUCCUUCACCUAGACCACGCCUCCUCCCCUUGAGUAACCUCCCUCUCACCCAUUCAAACUUCCUGAUCAAAACACGCCCAGCGACCUGCAUAACAGGACUCUGCCCCUUCCCCAGCCAAUCGGCUGCCCCUAGACCCCUAUAAAACCUUUGUGCUUUUGAAACUCUCUCUCUCCCUGGUAUCUCACCGCUGCCUCGGUGCAGGUAGGGGAUUGAGCUCGAGCUAGCUCGAAUAAAGGCUCUUUUGCUUUUGCAUCGGACUCGGCUCCCUGGUGGUCUUUGGGGAUCACGAAUUCUGGGCAUAACAAUACCAGCUUUCUAGGAUCUGAGUUUUUAUUUAAAUCACUUUGCAAAUGAUUUCAGAAUAUAUAUAUAUAUAUAUAUAUAUAUGAAAAUAUAAAUAUGAAUAUAAAUAGAUAUUUAUAUAUCAUUAAUAUAAUAAUAUAAUAAAAUAAAUAUAUGUAUGUUGGGAAUUCAUUAUACUAAGUGUAAUAAGCCAGUCACAAAAGGAAAAAUACUGUGCGAUUCCACCUAUGAGGUAUCUGGAGUGGUCACAUUCAUAGAGACAGAAAGUAGAACAGUGGCUGUCAGAGGCUGGAGGAAGACAGAUGGGGAGCUACUGUUUAGUGGGGACAGAGUUUCAGUUUUGCAAGAUGGAAGAGGUUUGGAGAUGGGUGGUGGUAACAGUUUCACAACAAUAACUACUGCUGAACUGUAUACUUAAAAAUGGUUAAGGUGGCAAGUUUUAUGUUAUAUGUAUUUUGCCACAGUUAAAAAAAAAAGUCAGGAGUCAUAUGUGGGCUUCGCUUUCUUUUACCUUACUGUCACCAUCAUUCUUUUUUUUUUUUUUAAUGUUUAUUUUUGAGAGAGACACACACAGAGUAUGAGUGGGGGAGGGGCAGAGAGAGGGAGACACAGGAUCCAAAGCAGGCUGCAGGCUCUGAGCUGUCAACACAGAGCCCGACACAGGGCUUGAACCCAUGAACCGUGAGAUCAUGACCUGAGGUGAAGUUGGGCGCUUAACUGACUGAGCCACCCAGGCGCCCACCAUCAUUCUUUAAUAGCCUCUUUUCUAUUUCCAUUAUAAACAUCUUACUUGAAUGGCCAGCAAAAUUUUUUCCCACCUCAGGCAUCUGGACUUUUUUUUUUUUUUUUAAUGGUUAAAUUUAGACUUUCUAUUGAGGUACUCUAUAUUUCUUUCUAGAUUUACAAUGUUUUUUUUUUUUUUUCCCUAAAAUGUGCCUUUCCAUUUUUACCCUCCGUGACAGUGGAGUUCUUUUGCAGCUUUUUUUUUUCUUUCCCAAAUAAACUAACUUUAGUUAAUUUUAGCCUAACCACAUUUUGGGUAGGAUUUAGCAAAAGCCAAAUUCUACCACUUAUUGGGGCUGUAGCCUGAAUGUUCCAUGCCCCCCUCCCCGGGUGCUUUCUCAAGGGUUACUUCCUCUGCCAGGCCCUUUAUGAACAUAAUUUCACUGGGUUGCCCAGCUUCCCUAAGAGGUGUAUAUCACCACCAUUAUACACGGGGACACUCAGAGGGGGUUAGGUAACUUAUUCAAAUCUCUCAGGUGGUGUCUUUGGCUCCAAAGCUUUGUAAUGUCUUUCUUUCUGUACUACACUGCCUGCACCCUGUCUUUUCCUUCUACUCCAAGGCAUUAGGAUAUCUCUAUUUCCAACCCCUUGGAGCACCGAAUCCCUUUGUGGGGAUUGAAAAAGCCUGCUAGUGAGAGCUGGCAGUAGAGUCCUCUGCUGUAGAGAUGGGUCAUCAGAGCUUUCGGACUCACCCCUUCUGUCUCCCCUGUCCAGCUGCCCAGGUCUUGCUCUCACCCCAAUUCUCCAGCAGCCAUCACCACACCUAACCCAAUGGACACUUCGAUCCUCUCCUUGAGCCAGCCUGGGUGGAGACAAAUUCCCAUCUUCCCUGUUUUGAGCAGAAACAAGGAGAGAACAUAUCAAAGGAAAGGCACAUUUGCUGUGAAUGUAAGAUGAAACCAAAUCAAAUUGCAACCAGGAAAGACAAAAGGGGGAUCUUUUUCAUAAUUGAACUGCAGUCCUUCCAGAGUGGCUGAGGAUUGAUCUGGCUGCAGCUCUAUUCCCCAUCUGCCCCCCAGAUCUCCUCAAGGGGAAAGAAGCCAAAUUUUGACUCCUUCAUCCUUCCUGGGCCAACAGUGGGUCUGGGGGCCAAAUGGACCAUUGCUCCUAGAGCCAGAACCCUCACAUCUCUCCAACAUCAAAGUGACAUGAUACCUGGAACCUACUGUCCUCUCUUGGAGGGGAGCUGGUAAAGGAAACUAACAUAUUGAGCAUUAGUGUGAGAAGAGCAUGGGAUGUGAAGGCAUGCCCACAAACAAGGCGUUGCAAGGAAGAGUUAAGAGUGUGUUCAGAUUCCAGCAGCAUCCACCACUAGUGGUGAGAUCUCAGGCUGGGCAAAUCAUCGCACCCCUCUGUGUCCCACUUCCCUCUUAUGUUGGGUAUCUGAGAGGAUUGAAGAGGUAAAUGCACACAGCACUCAACAACAUCCCAAAGUGUUCACUUUUAUCAAUGACCCUAUGCAUUAGGUGUCAGUACUCCAACUGCACCAAUGAGGCAGCCUUUGAACGCAGGUCUGCUGUGGUCAGGGCUCACAUUCUUUCCAUUUCCCUAUCGCGGUGGCCCCAGUAUGAGGACUUGUUCUCAUACCGUCUUGCACCAUUACCAAGCUGUGCAUUUGUGGAGUCCUUAACAGCCCUAAGUAAAUAGCUAUUUGAAUUGAAUGCAUGAAUGCCCAUGUUAGUGAAAGGAGAGGAAAUGAUUUGAAUUUGAGAGACAGAAAAAGCAUUUAUAUCAGAAGCAAAUAGAUUAAUUCAUUUAGACAGUCAGUUGGUUAAUAUUUACAGAGUAUUCAUAGGAUACCUGGCCCUAUUCAUAUAGGUUAUACCAUUGGGGAUGCCUGGAGGAAGUGGGGCAGGUGGGGAGGGGGCAGAGGAUUGGAGGCAUGGGGAAAGUUGGUCUAAAAAAAUAAAAGUCUGAAUUAUAAUAUUUAAUAUUAAUAUUACUUUAUAGUCUUCAGGCAAUUGUAAUCCUCAAACUGAGCUAAAAAAAGUGUUAGAGAAAGUAAAAACUGAUAAUGUGACUUAUAAUAACUGUAUUAAUAGUUGUUAUAUAAAAAUAUUUAUGUCCUCUUCUAUCCCCAAAUACUGGUUACAUGAAUGCUUUGUAUAAUCUCUCAAAGCUAGUGAUUUUAAAUUCCAAAUUAGCACAGACCCCAGGUGAAGGUUUUUAUUGGAUUGCUGCUAUGGGCAGAAAGUACUUAUAAAAAAGACACCAUGCCUUGGAUUGAAGGACAAGAUUCUAGAGAGCAGGACUUUGUGUCUUUUAAAUAUUUUUCAUUAACUUAUUUUUAAUUUUUUUAACUUUAUUAUUUUUGAGAGAGAAAGAGAGAGACAGAGUGUGAAUGGAGAAGGGGCAGAGAGAGAGGGAGGCACAGAAUCUGAAGCAGACUGCAGGCUCUGAGCUGUCAGCACAGAUCCCAACAUGGGGCUUGAACCCACAAACCAUGAGAUAAUGACCUGAGCUGAAGUUGGCCACUUAACCAACUGAGCCACCCAGGUGCCCCAGAAUCUCAUGUCUUGAAGGAGGUUUAUGUUCCUUGAUUCAAUCAUUCAUUAGAUUUAUGAAGAGGACAGGCAGCAAAUAGGAACCUCAAAGGUCAGAGGCAUGUGCAUUUAUUUGGGGGUAACACCACCAUAGCUGGAAAGGCUUGAUGUAGUUAGGGUUGUGGGUGGAUUGGUGGAGAGGGGGGAAGAGAGAGAGGAACCUGGGCCACAGAUCCCUCAGUGUGGGCAUCUGCAGGUUCAGACAGGUGAGGGAACAGACAGGUUGAAGCAGGUUAGAUCACAGGUGACACAGGAAGAAAGGGCGCUUGGGAGUGGCUCUCAAGCAUGAAUCCUUGAAAUAAGUGUUGAAAUAGAAGUGAGAUGAAUCUGGAGACCUCACUCCUCUUGCAGCCAAUCUUGAGUCACUAAAUGGAUUCUGGUUGUUGCAGAAAGGGGACUCUCGGAGGAAGUCUAGUAAAGUGCCUCCAAGCAUAUUUGAAUCCCAAUCUGUCACAGGUUGAAGAAUCUUGGUGAAUCACUUAAUCUUUAGGCUUCUACUUCCUCAUCCAUAAAGUGGGGAUGACAACAGUAUCUGCCUCACAGGGAUGUUACGAGGAUUAAAGAACUUGAUGAAUGUCACAAGCUCAGCAUUGUCCCCAGCACCUUGGUGCUCCAUACCAGGCAGUGAUGAUUAUUAGUGCACUGGAGAGACCUAGGGCUAUCACUUUUGGUUUGUGAGCCCUGCAAGGGCAGGUUCUAUGGUUUUAUCUUUAAGUACUAUUAAAUUACUUAGUUGAUCAUUGUUAUUGUUGCUAAUAAAAUAACAUUUAGCUUUCCUGAAACUCGGCUUCUGCCUCUAGUGGUGACUAAUACCUGAUAACAAGCAAGCUCUCUGGAAUCAACUCUUCCAGGGUUUUUUUCAACCAGAAAAAAAUAGAUGGCUGAGGAAUAGCCAUACAGUUAAGCUGUCAUGUGAGUUUUCCCCACUCCCAUUGCUUGUCUUCACUUUAUUCCCUGAACCCCAGAUCCCAAUAAAGGAGAUAGCAUAGAUAGAAAGAAGAAAGAAAUAUGAAAGCAAAAAUAGUUUUUGACUCAGAGGGUUGGAAGGCAUUGAAGGUUCUCCAGACCAACCACCUCACAGUCAACAAAGAGUGAUAACAGUGAUGUCAAGAAGGAAAUGGAGAGAAGUGGAAGGAGGGAGGGAGCCCUCCAGAGAGAAGCAGGGGUAAAGGAUAUAAAGUGGCUGGACAGAAGAUUUACUCCUAAUUACAAUGUUAACAACUGAUUGGUGUCAUGCUGGAUAGGCCGAGAUCCUCAGGGAGUAGACAGGAGGUCUCUUCUCCCUAUCCUCUCCCACUUAAAUUUCUUAGUACUUGAUGCAUCUUUCCAUCUUUCUUUGCAAUCUUUUUCCUUUUGAAAUGUCUCUCUACAUCUCUUUUAUUCUGAGCAUAAACUUUUUUUUUUUUAGAAAAGUCCCUUCACUUCCUUAUUUUCUCUCCCUCUGCCUCUCCAACUCUCUAUCUCCUGCCCUUUUGCCCUUCUGUUCUGGUUGCUUAUUUCCUUUUCUGUCUUACUUGCCAUCCAUCUUGCUCUAACGCCACAUAUGAGUUUUUAUUCAUCCUCAGCCCAAGAUAACUCCAUCCCUUCAUGGAGAGGAAGACCUAGGAAAAAUCCAGAGCUCUGGGUUCUGGCCCUUCUCUUAUUGUGCAGCUCUGUUAUUCCUUUAGUGUUUUUAAUUCUCAGUCUCAGCAUUAAAAAGAGAGAAUGAGCUAGGAUACUGCUCAGUACUGCUCUCCAUGAAUUACAUUUCAACUAAAGGCUUAGAAGACACAGCUUCACUGUUUAAGAUGCAAGAUGUUCCAGCCAAUGUUAUGCCACUGAUGUUAUGCUUUUAUGGGAUGAGAUAUUCUGGUGGAAACCCAGCCUCAGCUACUCUGCAGCCUACAGGCAUUGGGACACUUUGUAAUAUUUGGUAGACUUUGCUUUGGAAUUAUGGAGACUUUGGCAGAAAGUUCCUUCAAAGUCAAUGUAGUCUACCCUGUCCCCUGAUGUCUGCAUCCCUGAAUCCAGGGAAGGGGACACUCACUAUUUCCCAAGGCAGCCCAGUCCAUUUCAUGGCCAAGUAAGAAAGCUGAAUUUUCAAAGAAAACAUUCUCAUGUUUGGUCAUGGUGGUGGUUUGCUUAGCAAACUAUCCGUCCAUGAAUGACAGUUAUUCUCAAUUCUAAGCAGCUACAGGUCAUUCCCCUCCAAUCAAGUUCUUUGCAAGAGAAAGGGCUCUAAAAUUAUCAGAAUACUGGAUUGUUUGUCUUCCUGAAAUUUACAGAUGUAGAGAUAAAAAUGUGUUUGUCGUGCAGGGAUCCAUCCUCGUCAGCCUCAUCAUCAGGCAUAAUAAUGUCUAACACUUCUGUAGACUUACUAGGCACAAGGCAUUAUUCUAGCCAUUUGUAUAUAUUAAAUCAAGAAAAUAUGAUUUCUCUAAAUAACUUUCCUAUUUCCUUCCCUAAAGGGGUUUGAAUAUAAUGACACAUCAACAAGAGAAGGAACCUAAAUGUCACCUGGUCCAAUCCCCAGCUUUGCUGAUAAAUCCCAGAGAGGUUAUCUGCCUUACCUUAGGUCACCCAGCUAUAGUGGUAGAAUGGGACCUCAAGUGUUUUAAUAACAAGCUCACUAUUUAGAGCCAGGAUCAAGGAAGGUAUUUAGGGAACCUGAGAUUCUUUUUCUGGAAUACUCUGCCUCAUUCUGCUUUACCUGUGGCUAGUACUCAGCCAUAAAGGUGCCAAAAUCACCCUUCUAUUUUUCCUACCUUCUUAUCUUUUAAAAUAAGCCCUUCUUUGAAUCUCCUUUCAGCACUUGUAUCAUCUGUCCUUUCAUUUCUCAGUAUAUUUAAAAACUUUUCUAAUGUAGCCAAGUGAGUUUCUCUCCAGGUUAAAGUGAGAUUUCUGGUUUUGGAAGAAAACAAUCAUUUCAACUUCAUUGCCAUUGACUCUUAUCAGAACAAUUGCCAAACAUAGUUUGGUUGACUAAUUCAAGAUCUGUUGGAUCUUUUUCCUUUGGUGGCCUGUAGUAAAGGAUAUAAGAAACAGUGGGAGGGCAGGUGUCAUGGUGAGGAGACCUUUGGGUAGAAAAGGAGAUGGAUAGUAUCUUUUCUGGUUACAUGUUGAACAGAACACCUCUCUGGAGGGAGAAAAGCAAGCUGCCUCCCCGUUUGCUUUGAUGGAAAUCCAUCUAAAUUUUGCUUCUGGUACAACCCAGGAGCACAGUAUGAAACUCCUGCCCAACUCUGACUGUGAACAUUUCUUCCCAAGAAGCUCUAUCUGUUUCCAAUCCACAUUUGGAACUAGGUCUGGCAAUAUUCAUAGAGAGGAAAGAUUUUGUCCUCUCAGAACACAGGAAUAUUCUAUGUCAGCAGUUGCCUUUUUCUCAAUAUGAGUUUGGUGCAUCGGUGUGUGGGCUACAUAGAAUAUUUUAAAAUCAUACUUGCCUUCAAAUGUUGACAACUUUAUAAACAGUAUGGACAUGGACAGAUAAAUCAAAUUCGAUUUAUAACAAAUGCUAAGGUAAUUCCCAAACUAUUUUAUUGUACAGAAUAUUAUUCAGAAUGUUUGUUGGGUUUAAGUUUCUCUUGUUUUUUAUUAUUUACUUUUAUUUAUUAUUAUUAUUAUUACUUUUAGAGAUAGAAUGCAAUUGGGGGAGAGGAGCAGAGGAAAAGAGAGAAUCUUAAGCAGGCUCCACAUUCAGCGUGGAGCCCGACCUGGGGUUUGAUCCCACGACCCUGGGAUCAUGAUCUGAGCUGAAGUCAAGAGUUGGACACUCAACCGAGUCAUCUAGGCAACCCUUCUUUUAUUUUUAAUAUAGAUAUAAUUAUAGUUGUAUUUGUUGGGAAAAAGUACUUGAGAGAUUGGUUGGUUUUUAGUUAGGUUUUGGGCAAAAGUGUGUUUUCCUUAGUUGUACGAACUUUUCUCCACUUCCUAGCUAGAAAUAUGGGGUUUGUGUGCAUUUUAGGGUCACACAUACCUGGGACUGAAUCUUCAUUCUACCACUUACAGUUGUGGAAGUGUGUGUGUGUGUGUGUGUGUGUGUGUGUGAUUUAGUCCUUUGAACUUCGACUUCCUUCUAUGUAAUAGCACUUCUCUCACAAGCCAACCUGGGUGUCAAACAAGAUAUUUGGAAAGCACAUGGAAUAAGUUUGCAUAGUGCUAGGUAUACAGACACUCCGUAAAUGUUAGCUUCCCUGUUUGUGUGUGUGUGUGUGUGUUUGGAGUGAAGAGGGGAAACUAAGUUGACGAGUAAAAAUUGGAGGACCAUUCCAGAAAUAAACAAUCAAACUAACAAAAAAAAAUCAAACACAAAACAGAAAGGAACUGAGGGGUGAGAAAUGGCAAAAACAUUUAGAAAAAUGCUAUCAACAGGUAUUUACUAAGCUAUUUAUAUGUUUAGGUCCUUUACCAGGUGACCAACAUGUGGGACUCAAGGAUACACUCUGUUUGGAGAGAUAAGAUUUAUUCAUUUGUAAAAUAGAUAAUGAAAAUGCAAAGAAGUUGUUCCUCCUGGAGUUGAGAGGAGAGAGCAAUCUCUGUGCUUAUGGCAUCUUUGGAGACAAGAGAGAAGUUCAGUGGUGCUGAGGGUGGGAGGCAAGGGCAGAUGAGAAAACCUUGACAUGACCAGCCUUUUGAGUCUUAUGACAAAGGCUUGGGAAUGGCUGAACAAGGUGAGACAACUGAGUUGUUGUUGUUGUUGUUGUUGUUGUUGUUGUUGUUGUUUAAAUAGCAGUGGUGAAAAAUGAUCUUGAUAUUUUUUUGAACAACAGAAAAUCCCAAACAAGCCUAAAUGGGGCUGGAUAGUCUCACUGCAUUUAUGCUAAGGGAGUGGUGGUAGGUGGACAAGCUGAAGCCAUACAGUGCACACUCCUGGCUUCCUUAUUGGGACUGAGAGAUACCCAUACCCUUUGUUGAGUUACUUAUCCAGAUCCUCCUUAAGCUCCCUUUCUUUUUUCCCAGCAGAUCCCGGGAGAGAUGUCCUUUCAACCCCGUGUCUCUGCUAAACGCCUUUUGGAUCCAAGCAGUGGAGCCCAUUGGAUGACUGGACUAACUCAGAGACUAUUACUGAGGCUUAUUAGGCUGGCAAAAAGAAUUCUAGCCAAAUCUUCCAGGUUAGAAGAGAAAUGACAGCUGCCCCUGAAGGGAUUCCCAGGAUGGAGCACAGCAACCAUCCUACAAAGGGUUAAUACUCCCCCUCCCCUGGCCCCCAACUUGCUGCCAGAGAUCAGCUAAUCUGAUAAUUACAGCAACAAACACAGUUUAGACAAACAAGACCUGACCCUGAGGGUUUGGAAUGAAAACAUUUACUCUCUCCCUCCCCAGAGAGACGGUGCCUGGAGCAUACACACAGAGACACUGGGAAAAUACCCCUGUGCUGGAGUGAGGGGUGAAAACAUCUGUGUUCCUGAGCUGCUUGGGAAGAUAGCGUUAAUGGGGAGGGGGUUCAGUGGGGGAGGCGGAGGAGUGGGCAGUGGUGCAGUGGGAGGGUGUGCAGGCUGGGAGCAGAUGGAACAUGUACCCAUAACUGGAGCUAUAAGCCAAUUGUAAUUGAUUUUUACAGCAGAGGCAGAGUGCAGGGAGAGGUACAUAGGAGACUCAGCGAUUCAGAAUUCUAGUGAAAAACCUGGAAAGUGGCUAAGUGGGGAGAAACGUCCUACGACACCAAAGUGGGGUCUAUUUUUUUUACUAAAAAAUGUUUUUAAUGUUUAUUUUAUUUUUGAGAGAGAGAGAGGGAGAGAGAGAGCGCAUGAGAGAGUGGGGGAGACACAGAAUCCAAAGCAGGGUCCAGGCUCUGAGCUGUCAGCACAGAGCCCGACUUGGGGUUCAAACCCAUGAACCAUGAGAUCAUGACCCCAGCUGAAAUUGAGCCUUAACCCACUGAGCCACCCAGGCACCUGAGGAUCUAUUCCUGAGAGCUAGAGGUGAAGAAUAUUCAAAACAGCCCGAUUCUAAGUCAAGUUGACAUCUGCCCACCAGGGAGUGAGGGGCUCAUCCUUUUCUCACCCCCAAAAUUUGGCUUCAAAUUCUACCGGCUUCAAAACAUGUCAAAGUAUUUCCCCCCUCUUUUACUUCUAAAUGCUGGUUCCUAGAAGAAACCUUUCUGGGUUGCUUAAACGGGAAGGGCUGAUGUGCC